Molecule: ribosomal RNA, 497 nt
Filed under: uncultured bacterium
Lineage: Bacteria
Description: partial 16S ribosomal RNA
Rfam family: Bacterial small subunit ribosomal RNA
Source: RNAcentral
GAUGAACGCUGGCGGUGUGCCUAAUACAUGCAAGUCGAGCGAACGGACGAGAAGCUUGCUUCUCUGAUGUUAGCGGCGGACGGGUGAGUAACACGUGGAUAACCUACCUAUAAGACUGGGAUAACUUCGGGAAACCGGAGCUAAUACCGGAUAAUAUUUUGAACCGCAUGGUUCAAAAGUAAAAGACGGUCUUGCUGUCACUUAUAGAUGGAUCCGCGCUGCAUUAGCUAGUUGGUAAGGUAACGGCUUACCAAGGCAACGAUGCAUAGCCGACCUGAGAGGGUGAUCGGCCACACUGGAACUGAGACACGGUCCAGACUCCUACGGGAGGCAGCAGUAGGGAAUCUUCCGCAAUGGGCGAAAGCCUGACGGAGCAACGCCGCGUGAGUGAUGAAGGUCUUCGGAUCGUAAAACUCUGUUAUUAGGGAAGAACAUAUGUGUAAGUAACUGUGCACAUCUUGACGGUACCUAAUCAGAAAGCCACGGCUAACUACGUG